Long non-coding RNA from Brassica oleracea var. oleracea, 1061 nucleotides. RefSeq lists it as uncharacterized. The transcript has 3 exons. The record is from RefSeq and is a predicted model, not a curated record. Lineage: Eukaryota; Viridiplantae; Streptophyta; Magnoliopsida; Brassicales; Brassicaceae.
UUGAACCAUAAAAUAGUAUUAUUUCAGUUAAUAUAUCCGAACGAGAUUCUACAACACAUCAAGAGAUUCUUGAUCGGAACCGACGGCGAAGGAAGCUCCGUCGUCUUCGAUGCCGUCCGUCCGAAGAGCCUACGCGGCUCCUAUAUUCAUCUUCAUCCUCGCUAUGAUAGUUUUGGGUAUAAAGAUGUACAGUUCAGUGGAAGUCGUGAGAGACUAUUGCUUCUAAGUGGAACAAUACGCCUAUGAGCUGUUAACAAAUGUGGUAUGGAAGAGGGGACUAUGACGUAUGGCAUAGACGAAUCAGUAAUCCGCACGAGAUCAGAAGAAACACGAGGCAAAAGAGAAAUCAACAAGAGCACAAUGGCCACCCAAUGCCAAGCUGCCACGUCUAUAAGGAUUUGAUCCUUAAAAUCCUUAUUUAGGGAUCAAUCCUUAGUUAACUAAGUGUUUAUAUUAUUAUUAUAUUGCUAAUAACUUAGUAUUAAGAGCUAAGGAUUCUUCUUCAUCCUCCAUUGUGGGUGCUCUUAUGACAAUUACGUCCCAAGAUUCUAAGCCAUGCAUGGCUCAUUCAGGUACGUAUCUUUCUGGUUGUAUACACAGGGACAGGUGUGUAAAUUUGUGUAUACACUGAUACUGGAAUACCAAGUCUAGAAUGCCUAGCAAGCGUUUUGAAACCUUUCUUACAAGAGAUACAAGCAAUCGGGCAUGAUAUUGAUAAGUAAAUAACUAAAUAUUGGCAUGCGUGUAACCAAAUUCUCUUGGAAGCCCUUUGUCGUACAGGCGGAGGAGGAGAAGUAGAAGAAAGAGAGAACAAUGAAUGAGGAAUACAAAGGGUGAGGAGGAUCCUGCUUCCAUCACUGAUAACGAACCUAAAGAUGACGUCCAGAUUCUAUCUCAGGUUCUGAUUCUGACUAAUAUGUUAUAAGCCAUAGAAAUCUACUUUCUUUUCACAUUUUACUUUGUUGCUUUGUGCUUUUUUUUUGUUGUAAAAUUUAAUGAAAUUCAGUUUCAUGUUGAACAGUUAACUAUAUAUAAAAAGAGUACAUGCAACUCGACUGUUU